UUGCUUAGGCAGCAAAUACACUAAAAUUGGAAUGAUACAGAGAAAAUUAGCAUGGCCCCUGCACAGGGAUGACAUGCAAAUUCACAAAGUAUUCCAUAUUUGU
Molecule: small nuclear RNA, 103 nt
Organism: Ictidomys tridecemlineatus (thirteen-lined ground squirrel)
Lineage: Eukaryota; Metazoa; Chordata; Mammalia; Rodentia; Sciuridae
Source: Ensembl